AUACGGGGGAUUCAAGCGUUAUCCGGACUUAUUGGGUUUAAAGGGUGCGUAGGCGGGAGAUUAAGUCGGUGGUGAAAUUUUGCAGCUCAACUGUAAAAGUGCCAUUGAUACUGGUUUCCUUGAGUGUGGAUGAAGUAGGCGGAAUUUGUGGUGUAGCGGUGAAAUGCAUAGAUAUCACGAGGAACUCCGAUUGCGCAGGCAGCUUACUAAACCAUAACUGACGCUCAGGCACGAAGGCGUGGGGAUCAAACAGGAUUAGAUACCCUGGUAGUCCACGCAGUAAACGAUGAUUACUCGCUGUUUGCGAUACACAGCAAGCGGCUUAGCGAAAGCGUUAAGUAAUCCACCUGGGGAGUACGUUCGCAAGAUUAAAACUUAAAGGAAUUGACGGGG
This 393-nucleotide ribosomal RNA is filed under the name uncultured bacterium. Its description in RNAcentral is "partial 16S ribosomal RNA". It matches the Rfam family "Bacterial small subunit ribosomal RNA", at positions 523 to 918 of the family's 1533-position model. The record is from RNAcentral.